GCGCCGUUAGUGUAGCGGUUAUCAUCCUUGCCUUCCAUAAUAGGGAAUAGACAGCAAGGGACUCGGGUUCGACUCCCGAACGGCGCA
Molecule: transfer RNA, 87 nt
Filed under: Aspergillus puulaauensis
Lineage: Eukaryota; Fungi; Ascomycota; Eurotiomycetes; Eurotiales; Aspergillaceae
Description: tRNA-Gly
Rfam family: tRNA
About the family: Transfer RNA (tRNA) molecules are approximately 80 nucleotides in length.
Source: RNAcentral